RNAcentral lists this ribosomal RNA (253 nucleotides) under uncultured bacterium. Its description in RNAcentral is "partial 16S ribosomal RNA". It matches the Rfam family "Bacterial small subunit ribosomal RNA", at positions 524 to 776 of the family's 1533-position model. The record is from RNAcentral.
GACGAACCGUGCGAACGUUGUUCGGAUUCACUGGGCUUAAAGGGCGCGUAGGCGGGCAAUCAAGUCAGGGGUGAAAGCCUCCAGCUUAACUGGAGAAGUGCCUCUGAUACUGGUCGUCUUGAGGGAGGUAGGGGCAUGUGGAACUUCCGGUGGAGCGGUGAAAUGCGUAGAUAUCGGGAGGAACACCAGUGGCGAAGGCGAUCACCUGGGGUUGUUCUGACGCUGAGGAGCGAAAGCUAGGGGAGCAAACGGG